CCCGCCCACUCCGAGCCUCCGUGCGGGUCCGAAAUGGUAGGCUGCCUGCUGGCCUCCACGCGUAGCGACCUGCGCCUCCCCCAGGCGGCCUGUAGGCCAGGCCGCAGCUACAGGUCCGACCGCGGCGGAAGCGGGGACGAGGAGAAUCGGCCUCCCUGGCCCCCUCGCGUGGGCUUUUCAGACCUUACCAACCCUCCCCGUGGGCGCCAGGGAGGGGCUCUGGGGAAAAGCUCUGGGGACCGGGUACUGAUACGUGCCCAAGAUGGGUGUCAGGACCACCCCCUGCCGCCCCCAGCGGCCUGACGGGCGUGGGGAGGGCUCGGGACGGCCAGCACGCCGGGCCCUCCGGGCGGCGCCCGAAGAGCUGUCCAUGGUGUCUCCCCGCGAACGGCGCCCAGUUCCUGUUCUGAGCAUCCGGGUAGGUAGCGGGAGAAAAACUAAUGCCUACUUUGGAGCAACUCUCUUGGCUGUCGUUUCUUCUGAGUGUUCCAGGGCUCUCAGGAACACUACAGGAAAGACUGCUCCGCUGUACCUGUGGUGGAGAAUCGAAGUCACAAACCAGGACCUCAAGACUGAGUUGAAACAUGGCGCAAAUCAUACUACGGUGGCUAAUAUUAGUGUGUCCCACGGACUUUCCCUUCUCUUUCCACUUGAUAGACCUAAAUGUGGGAAUGAAGUCAAAGCCAAGAGGGCCAAAGGAAUUGAAAUCCUGAAGAAACCGUUUCUGCUUGUCUUCGUUUUUUCUUUACCUCUUCCUCUUCUUGCUUUUAUUUUAGCAGCGAAAGCAGAAUUUAAAUUUGUUACCGUGCACAAAAUCAUUUCCCCCUCUGGGCCUUGUCAUGUGGCUUGAUUUAACAUUUCUUCAUCCUUUUUAGAGAAGCUGGACCCACCCUGGUUUCAGGAUCCUAAAGUAGCUAUCACUCACUAGAAGAGAAGCCUUUUCUUUUCUAGGACAUAUGCAAAGACACAUUUAGUUCUGAGAACUGGAAAGGAUUUCUCAUUUAGUACUAUUUACUUAGAAAAAGGUGUUUUGCUCUUAGUAGUGGUUACUGACAGCAGCCUCAGAAUUAAACUUAUAUUAAGAGUC
Long non-coding RNA from Mirounga angustirostris (Northern elephant seal), 1087 nucleotides. RefSeq lists it as uncharacterized. NCBI's taxonomy places the organism in Eukaryota, Metazoa, Chordata, Mammalia, Carnivora, Phocidae. The record is from RefSeq and is a predicted model, not a curated record. The transcript has 2 exons.